Calidris pugnax (ruff) is the source of this 1636-nucleotide long non-coding RNA. RefSeq lists it as uncharacterized. The record is from RefSeq and is a predicted model, not a curated record. The transcript has 4 exons. Lineage: Eukaryota; Metazoa; Chordata; Aves; Charadriiformes; Scolopacidae.
CCCGCCUCAGCCUCGCGGCCGGUGGAGCGGCCUCGGCGGGGAUUCCCCUCCCGAUGGGGCGGCCACGGGCCGGGCUGGGCCGCUUGGCGGUGAGGGGGCGGCGGGAGCCCUCGGCGGGACGAGUGCGGGGGAUGUUGACGGGGCUGUGCAACGCUCCUCCUCUCGGCCUUGAUGCCUUCCACCCCGUGUGAAGCCUUUUGACUCCACUGCUUUACUUUCACCCAGAGUCCAGAGAAGAUCCAUGACGCUGGAACGGUGUGAUUGAAAGUUAGGAUUUCACUAACAGGGGAUGGAGGACCUUCCAGAAUGCCGCUUGCAGCAGUGGAAUGACUGACCCCCUUGGAGAAACGUAGGCUGUCUCCUUUUGAAGCUUGAAAGGCUUUGUUGAGCUCUCCAGUCAAAGGCACUUGUUUUAUCUUAAAACUUCCCAUGUUCUAGUAGGACUAGGAAGCUCAGUAGAGAACUGCCCACAUGGAAGUUGCUUACAGUGAUCAAGGAACAGAUGGCGGAGUCUGAGGCUCAUCACUCUUUCUUAAUUAAGGGCCAGCUUAAAGUGUGGUUUGAGGACUCCAAAAAAGCACUGCAAUUCCUCGGUGUGUGGAUGCGCAAUUCAGAGACAACAGCAAAGUUAACGGCCAAGCUCCUUAUUCAGCCUUAGACAACCUUCUUAUGAAGAUCAACGAGCAAUCUUCAAGCUGCAGGAACCACAUAAACCUAAAUGCCUGCUCCAGCCCACAGAGUUGGAACAGGACGUGACUUUUCCUUCACAAUGAACUUGCCACCUUCAGUUCAGUUCAUUACUUGGCUCCAGCUGUUACUGUGCUCAGAAGUUACAUGCUGGAUUCCAGAAUUACUCCAAGAGGGUUGCUGCUAUAUUGGGUCAGCUCAGAUGCAGGCCAAAGCGGAAGUUAUCCUGGAACUCACUUGCAGCAACAGACAGGAUAAAUGUCCUCCCCUGCAGUGUAAUUCACUUAGAUGUUACUAAAUGUUUUAAAUGUUGUUCAGGUAUUACUAAGUUUAAUUAAAGGUCAUCUUCCUUCUCUAUCAGGAAUGGGUCAGCACCCAACGAAGAGCAGUUACACACUGUUUCAGAUUUGGCUUUCUCUAUCAGUCACUAUUAAUUCUAUGAUUGCUAGCACAGUACCUUCUGUGCAUUCUCUAGAGCCUAUUUUCCUGAAUCAGAUACUUAUUCAGAGCAUAAGAAAUAACUGUAUUUUCCAUACUCUUCCUUGAAAUUCUAAUGAUGCAUCAGUUUCUUUCUGCCUUAGUCUCUCUUCCACUACAUUAUCUAAAAUGCCACUGUUUCAAUUUUAUAUUCACUUACUCCCGACCCAAUAAACUUAGCUGUUUCCCUGAUUCUGCACAUGCAUUCUUCAUUGCCUGCUUGUUCUGCAUACAUCACUUUUGUUGCUGCUUUUUUUCCACAUCUACCUUCACUCCUAGCUGUCCUAUUUAGAGUACCUUGAUUCUUUACAUUUCCACAGUUCAGGAAAAUGUGGAAAUGGGCAGGGAUAAAAUUUUGUUAACUCUACCUGAGAAACAGCUUUAGAAAUUCUUUAUUAACUUUCCUUUCUGUAUCAGCUAAGGCAACUCCUAUUCACACCACUGUUCUUUGAAUAUGAUCUAAAAUUAAACA